This 459-nucleotide ribosomal RNA is filed under the name uncultured bacterium. RNAcentral's name for it is "partial 16S ribosomal RNA". It matches the Rfam family "Bacterial small subunit ribosomal RNA", at positions 339 to 795 of the family's 1533-position model. The record is from RNAcentral.
CUACGGGAGGCUCCAGUGAGGAAUAUUGGUCAAUGGACGAGAGUCUGAACCAGCCAUCCCGCGUGCAGGAUGACGGCCCUAUGGGUUGUAAACUGCUUUUCUAUACCAAGAAACCUGUCUACGUGUAGACAGUUGCCGGUAGUAUAGGAAUAAGCAUCGGCUAACUCCGUGCCAGCAGCCGCGGUAAUACGGAGGAUGCAAGCGUUAUCCGGAGUCAUUGGGUUUAAAGGGUGCGCAGGUGGGAUAGUAAGUCAGUGGUGAAAGCUUGCCGCUUAACGGUAAAACUGCCAUUGAUACUGCUGUUCUUGAGUGUGGUUGAGGUAGGCGGAAUGUGUUGUGUAGCGGUGAAAUGCAUAGAUAUGACACAGAACGCCGAUUGCGAAGGCAGCUUACUAAGCCAUUACUGACGCUGAGGCACGAAAGCGUGGGGAGCGAACAGGAUUAGAUACCCCCGUAGUC